GUGGGGCCGUUGGCUCCGCGGAGUUAGCUGCUGAGGGGCGUUUGGAACCCGGUGCAACUUAGCUACUUUGGACCAGACCGGAACUAGGGAAGGACUAGGUUACCUCACUAAGAGGAAAGAAUGGUUUCUGAACAUCCAAAAGUCAAGAUCAAAGUGCUUUGUGAUUUUUUCUUUCUUCCCUGAAAUCUUUGUUUUUCAAGGGGUUGGUCAUGUUCAGGGAUGUGGCUGUAGACUUCUCUCAGGAGGAGUGGGAAUGCCUGGACUCUAUGCAGAGGGAUUUAUAUAGAGAUGUAAUGAUGGAGAAUUACAGCAACCUGGUCUUACUAGUGACUGAAGAAUCUAUUGAAUCAGCCAACACUUCAUUUAGGAGCAUGAAAAAACACACAGAAGUGUUUAAAGUAGUAGUUAAUAAAAUAUUUUGUUUGCAAGCAAUGCGUGGAGUCUUACUCAAUUCAAUAUAUUGUUAUUAGUUGACAUUGAGUUUCCAGAUAUACAAUGAUAUCUGGAAAUUAUGAUAGUCCAAAUCUCCUUUUCAAUUCUUACAACUAUAAUUAUUUCACUUACCUAACUGCCAGCACAAUUCUGUAGGCUCAAAUAAAAGCAGGUAUCAGAUAUCCAGCUAGUCACAGUCAGGCACUGUUUAUGAGUCGCUCAGCAGUCUGCCACCAUAGAACAUAUGCAAGAGAACAACAUCCCUUCUGUAACCAUCAUAUAAAUACUAACACAUCUAUAAAAACAGACACAUUCAGUUACCUACUAUCUCAUCCACUCAACAAAACCAAAAUCCUGAGGCAUCACAUCAUUCUCUACCUCAUAUAAGUAAUUCUACACAGAAAAAUCACACUCACAAACCACUUCCUGUUAAUGUCUCUUCCAGUCACUUACAAGCUCAAACACGACUCACACUUAAUCCAAAAAUAGAUACACCAGAGGAAACACCACACGGCAACACGACUCCACCCACUUCCACAACCGGCUGCAGAGUAGCUCGAGGUGACCAGCAUCAGGUCAGGUAAAGAGGGCCAUCCCAAUUCGGGACAUACACCUACACACAAACACACGUCACACUUGCUAUGUGCCAGGCCCGGCUCCAGGCGCUUGGGCUUCCCCAGGGACAAAACACAAAAUCCGCCACGCCCCCCCCCGCCCCCGCCAGACAUCGUUCCAGGUCACACCCAUGGUGGACAUCAGCAUUCCUACCCAGAACAAAAGUAAGGUGCUCAACACACGUAGGUCUGAAGCUCCCAGCUUCCUCCUGGGCUUUUGCAGCUCUGGGUCAGG
Molecule: long non-coding RNA, 1281 nt
Organism: Aethalodelphis obliquidens (Pacific white-sided dolphin)
Lineage: Eukaryota; Metazoa; Chordata; Mammalia; Artiodactyla; Delphinidae
Exons: 4
Source: RefSeq, a predicted model, not a curated record